AAAGUUUGAUCCUGGCUCAGGAUGAACSYUGGCGGUAUGCUUAWCAYAUGCAAGUCGAACGGUCUUUUAGGAGACAGUGGCGGACGGGUGAGUAACGCGUAAGAAUCUACCCUCAGGUCGGGGACAACCACUGGAAACGGUGGCUAAUACCGGAUGUGCCGAGARGUGAAAGGCCUGCUGCCUGGGGAAGAGCUUGCGUCUGAUUAGCUAGUUGGUAGUGUAAGGGACUACCAAGGCGACGAUGGGUAGCUGGUUUGAGAGGAUGACCAGCCACAUUGGGACUGAGAUACGGCCCAGACUCCUACGGGAGGCRGCAGUGAGGAAUUUUSSGSARUGGACGAARGYCUGACGGAGCGACKMCGCGUGGGUGACGAAGGUCUUCGGAUCGUAAAGCCCUGUCAGGGGGAAAGAAACCCGUUGUCGCUAAUAUCGGCGACGGUUGACGGUACCCCCAAAGGAAGCACCGGCCAACUACGUGCCAGCAGCCGCGGUAAUACGUAGGGUGCAMGCGUUAUCCCGGAAUUACUGGGCGUAAAGAGCUCGUAGGCGGUUGGAUAAKUSSCAUGUWAAAGACCCAAGCUUAACUUGGGGGCUGCGUGCGAUACUGUCCGGCUAGAGAAACGGGAGAGGAACGUGGAAUUCCUGGUGUAGCGGGUGAAAWGCAUAGWUWUCAGGAAGAYCACCUGUGGCSGAAGGCGGSWUUCUAAACCGUUUUCCRA
Molecule: ribosomal RNA, 719 nt
Filed under: uncultured bacterium
Lineage: Bacteria
Description: partial 16S ribosomal RNA
Rfam family: Bacterial small subunit ribosomal RNA
Source: RNAcentral